AUACGGAGGAUGCGAGCGUUAUCCGGAUUUAUUGGGUUUAAAGGGUGCGUAGGUGGCUUUUUAAGUCAGCGGUGAAAACUGGCGGCUCAACCGCAAGAGUGCCGUUGAAACUGGGGAGCUAGAGUAUGAACGAGGUAGGCGGAAUGUGUGGUGUAGCGGUGAAAUGCAUAGAUAUCACGCAGAACUCCGAUAGCGAAGGCAGCUUACCAGGCCAUAACAGACACUGAAGCACGAAAGCGUGGGGAUC
Molecule: ribosomal RNA, 247 nt
Filed under: uncultured bacterium
Lineage: Bacteria
Description: partial 16S ribosomal RNA
Rfam family: Bacterial small subunit ribosomal RNA
Source: RNAcentral